RNAcentral lists this ribosomal RNA (1352 nucleotides) under uncultured bacterium. RNAcentral describes it as "bacterial SSU rRNA". It matches the Rfam family "Bacterial small subunit ribosomal RNA", at positions 28 to 1381 of the family's 1533-position model. The record is from RNAcentral.
AUUGAACGCUGGCGGCAUGCCUUACACAUGCAAGUCGAACGGUAACGGGUCCUUCGGGAUGCCGACGAGUGGCGAACGGGUGAGUAAUAUAUCGGAACGUGCCCAGUAGUGGGGGAUAACUGCUCGAAAGAGCAGCUAAUACCGCAUACGACCUGAGGGUGAAAGGGGGGGAUCGCAAGACCUCUCGCUAUUGGAGCGGCCGAUAUCAGAUUAGCUAGUUGGUGGGGUAAAGGCCUACCAAGGCAACGAUCUGUAGUUGGUCUGAGAGGACGACCAGCCACACUGGGACUGAGACACGGCCCAGACUCCUACGGGAGGCAGCAGUGGGGAAUUUUGGACAAUGGGCGCAAGCCUGAUCCAGCAAUGCCGCGUGCAGGAAGAAGGCCUUCGGGUUGUAAACUGCUUUUGUCAGGGAAGAAAUCUUCUGGGCUAAUACCCCGGGAGGAUGACGGUACCUGAAGAAUAAGCACCGGCUAACUACGUGCCAGCAGCCGCGGUAAUACGUAGGGUGCGAGCGUUAAUCGGAAUUACUGGGCGUAAAGCGUGCGCAGGCGGCUUUGCAAGACAGAUGUGAAAUCCCCGGGCUCAACCUGGGAGCUGCAUUUGUGACUGCAAGGCUAGAGUACGGCAGAGGGGGAUGGAAUUCCGCGUGUAGCAGUGAAAUGCGUAGAUAUGCGGAGGAACACCAAUGGCGAAGGCAAUCCCCUGGGCCUGUACUGACGCUCAUGCACGAAAGCGUGGGGAGCAAACAGGAUUAGAUACCCUGGUAGUCCACGCCCUAAACGAUGUCAACUGGUUGUUGGACGGCUUGCUGUUCAGUAACGAAGCUAACGCGUGAAGUUGACCGCCUGGGGAGUACGGCCGCAAGGUUGAAACUUAAAGGAAUUGACGGGGACCCGCACAAGCGGUGGAUGAUGUGGUUUAAUUCGAUGCAACGCGAAAAACCUUACCUACCCUUGACAUGUCAAGAAUUCUGCAGAGAUGUGGAAGUGCUCGAAAGAGAACUUGAACACAGGUGCUGCAUGGCCGUCGUCAGCUCGUGUCGUGAGAUGUUGGGUUAAGUCCCGCAACGAGCGCAACCCUUGUCAUUAGUUGCUACGCAAGAGCACUCUAAUGAGACUGCCGGUGACAAACCGGAGGAAGGUGGGGAUGACGUCAGGUCCUCAUGGCCCUUAUGGGUAGGGCUACACACGUCAUACAAUGGCCGGUACAGAGGGCUGCCAACCCGCGAGGGGGAGCCAAUCCCAGAAAACCGGUCGUAGUCCGGAUCGUAGUCUGCAACUCGACUGCGUGAAGUCGGAAUCGCUAGUAAUCGCGGAUCAGCUUGCCGCGGUGAAUACGUUCCCGGGUCU